This 729-nucleotide long non-coding RNA is filed under the name Numida meleagris (helmeted guineafowl). Its description in RNAcentral is "lncRNA (ENSNMEG00000022918.1)". The record is from RNAcentral. Lineage: Eukaryota; Metazoa; Chordata; Aves; Galliformes; Numididae.
GUCCAAAUGCUUCCUGAACUCUGGCAGCUUGGUGCCAUGACUACUGUCCUGGGCAGCCUUUCCCAGUGCAUAACCACUCUCCGGUGAGGAAGCUUUUCCUAACAGCCAACCUGACUCUCCCCUGACACAGCUCCAUGCUGUUCCCUCAGGUUCUGUCCCUGUCAUCAGAGAGAUCAGGAAUAUAACCACCUUCCUUGUGAUGCCAAUAUCAAUUACACCAUAGUGUGAAAGAGAUCCAGAGGAAGUGGAAUGUAUGAAGUGGCUUCCAAUCUAGCUUUUUUUUUUUUUGUCCCACAGAACUCUCUCCCUCUUUCAAACUCUUCCCUCUACACUGAGCCACAAAAUGGUUGCCAGAUUGGCCUCUUUCCUGCUGCUGCCCUCUAUUUUUCUUCCCUUGUAGGGGUACUGAGACGGUCAGAAGUUCUUCUGUAUCUCACUGUGGCCUUUGUGGUUUUUAUCAAGUCCUGGGAACUGGGCUGACAGACAAGGAGGAUGAGGAAGAGGAGUCUGAUACUCUUGGUGUUGCAGAUGAAACACUUGGAGGGAGGUUGGAGGCCGCAUUUAGAUGUUAUUUCCUCUUGGCCUCAAGUGCCUGCCUGCUUCUCCACAAGAGAAGAUGCUGUCGGAGACUGGACAGCAGAUUUCCUUGGGGAAAGCUCCAAUCAGAGAAGAAUAAAAACACGUUGUUCCUGUCCUGACAAUUACUUCAGAGUCCAACCAGUCCGGUAG